Molecule: transfer RNA, 74 nt
Filed under: Tepidimonas ignava
Lineage: Bacteria; Pseudomonadati; Pseudomonadota; Betaproteobacteria; Burkholderiales
Also listed under: 8 other names
Description: tRNA-Gln
Rfam family: tRNA
About the family: Transfer RNA (tRNA) molecules are approximately 80 nucleotides in length. Their secondary structure includes four short double-helical elements and three loops (D, anti-codon, and T loops).
Source: RNAcentral
UGAGAGGUCGUCUAAGGGUAGGACACGUGACUCUGGAUCACGUAGUGGUGGUUCGAAUCCACCCCUCUCAGCCA